UACGGAGGGAGCUAGCGUUGUUCGGAAUUACUGGGCGUAAAGCGCGCGUAGGCGGCUUUGUAAGUUAGAGGUGAAAGCCCGGAGCUCAACUCCGGAACUGCCUUUAAAACUGCAUCGCUUGAAUCCAGGAGAGGUGAGUGGAAUUCCGAGUGUAGAGGUGAAAUUCGUAGAUAUUCGCAAGAACACCAGUGGCGAAGGCGGCUCACUGGCCCGGUACUGACGCUGAGGUGCGAAAGCGUGGGGAGCAAACAGG
Molecule: ribosomal RNA, 253 nt
Filed under: uncultured bacterium
Lineage: Bacteria
Description: partial 16S ribosomal RNA
Rfam family: Bacterial small subunit ribosomal RNA
Source: RNAcentral